GAUUUUGAAAGAUGAGGCAAAAGGAAUGUAAGAGCUAGGUAAAAGGUGCAGCAUUGUGCCUUGCUGUCUUUGUUAUGUCAUAGCUAGUGUACACUGGAACUCUCAGCAGCACUGGUUACCUACCCAAGACAUGCUCCACACAGGGACACUCAGCUUCUCUCACAUAGUUGGAGAGGGACUAAGAAAGUUUCACAUCUCAUCACCAGAGGAUUUAUAAGUAGUUGAUGCUUGGAUUUAGAGAAAACACUGAAGGAGCUGAAGGAGUUUGCAACAACAUAAAAAGAACAACAAUAUCAACCAACCAAACCCCACCAGAGCUCCCAGGGACUAAACUACCAACCAGUGAGUAUACAAGGAGGCACUCAUGACUCCAGCCACAUAUGUGGCAGAGGAUGGCAUUAUCCAGCCUCAAUGGAAGGAAAAGCCCUUGGUCCUGUGAAGACUUGUUUCCUCAAUGUAGGGGGUUGCCAGGACCUUGAAGUUGGAGUGGGUGGGUAGCAAUGGGAGCAUCCACAUAGAAGUAGGUAUGGGAGAAGGGGGAGAGGGGAUAAUAUUUGAAAUGUAAAUACAUGAAAUAUCCAAUAAAAA
This is a non-coding RNA of Rattus norvegicus (Norway rat), 588 nucleotides long. The record is from RefSeq and is a predicted model, not a curated record. NCBI's taxonomy places the organism in Eukaryota, Metazoa, Chordata, Mammalia, Rodentia, Muridae.